GGGGCUGCUCCUAGUACGAGAGGACCGGAGUGGACGCAUCACUGGUGUUCGGGUUGUCAUGCCAAUGGCACUGCCCGGUAGCUAAAUGCGGAAGAGAUAAGUGCUGAAAGCAUCUAAGCACGAAACUUGCCCCGAGAUGAGUUCUCCCUGACUCCUUGAGAGUCCUGAAGGAACGUUGAAGACGACGACGUUGAUAGGCCGGGUGUGUAAGCGCAGCGAUGCGUUGAGCUAACCGGUACUAAUGAACCGUGAGGCUUAACCUUACAACGCCGAAGGUGUUU
RNAcentral lists this ribosomal RNA (281 nucleotides) under Escherichia coli. RNAcentral describes it as "partial 23S ribosomal RNA". It matches the Rfam family "Bacterial large subunit ribosomal RNA", at positions 2668 to 2925 of the family's 2925-position model. Lineage: Bacteria; Pseudomonadati; Pseudomonadota; Gammaproteobacteria; Enterobacterales; Enterobacteriaceae. The record is from RNAcentral.